ACUACUAUUCCCGAGCGGUCAAAGGGGUCAGACUUAAGACCUGAUGCAUUAGCUUCGUGGGUUCGAAUCCCACUGGUAGUACCA
This 84-nucleotide transfer RNA is filed under the name bacterium. RNAcentral describes it as "tRNA-Leu". It matches the Rfam family "tRNA". Rfam says of the family: Transfer RNA (tRNA) molecules are approximately 80 nucleotides in length. Their secondary structure includes four short double-helical elements and three loops (D, anti-codon, and T loops). The record is from RNAcentral.